Long non-coding RNA from Stomoxys calcitrans (stable fly), 492 nucleotides. RefSeq lists it as uncharacterized. The transcript is spliced from 2 exons. Lineage: Eukaryota; Metazoa; Arthropoda; Insecta; Diptera; Muscidae. The record is from RefSeq and is a predicted model, not a curated record.
UUUCUUCCAGAAAUUCCAUCGACCGCAUUCCAUUUCUCAAUUUCUUUCGCUCCUGUUUGUUAACUGCUUAUAUUUUGAACAAGUAAGGCAAGCUGCUUUGGACGUUUGGACGUUUCCCCCUUUCUCACUCAUAUCCAUUAAAAAUUCCUAUGUACUCCCAUUAUCAAGUUGCAAAUUUCUUGUGUCAGAACCCUUUGUAAGAAUUCCCCCUUUCUGCUUUGACUUGGUUAGCUAAAAACAUGAAGGAAGAUUGAAUGUUGGCUAAUGUAUUGAUAAAUGAAUGUUUUGAGGAUGACAAAGGAACUGGAAACUACAACUUUUUCUCCCCCAUACGAUAAGGAUAAGAGCAUGAAAUGUUAGUAAAGGAUAAGCAUAACAAGAAAAAAAAAAAUACAUCCGUUUCGAAUUGAUAGGGAAAGCAAACUCAAAAUUGUUUUUUUUUCCUGCUAUCACACUUAUGGUCAAAUAAAUUAUUAUAGAUUUAUAUUCAUA